CCCUAUUAUACUAGGCAGAAAUUACAGUUUGCUUGAGUAGUAAUCAGUUAUGUUCUUGAAACUUAAAGAAUUUGGCGGUAUUCAAGUCUAGUUAGAGGAACCUGCUCUUUAAAACGAUAUGCCACGAAUUAUCUUAUUUUCUCUUGUGUUCAGUAUGUAUACCGCCAUUAUUAGGUAGCGUUUUUAGGUGUCUACUGUAAUUUAUUUUUGCAAGAUAUAUUAGGUCAAGGUGCAGCCUAUGGGGAAGUAGUUGUGGGUUACAUUGUAUUUUAUGUUUCGGAUAGAUAUUUGAAAGGGUGUCUUUAAGCUGGAUUUAAUUGUAAGCUCCUUUUAAUAAGUGGGGUUGGUAGUGGCUCUAGAAUAUGUACACAUCGCCC
This 377-nucleotide ribosomal RNA is filed under the name Anisomenaeus spinimanus. RNAcentral describes it as "partial 12S ribosomal RNA". It matches the Rfam family "Microsporidia small subunit ribosomal RNA", at positions 752 to 1197 of the family's 1311-position model. Lineage: Eukaryota; Metazoa; Arthropoda; Malacostraca; Decapoda; Palaemonidae. The record is from RNAcentral.